GAAAAACUCCGGUGGUAUGGGAUGGACCCGCGUCUGAUUAGCCAGUUGGCAGGGCAACGGCCUACCAAAGCGACGAUCAGUAGCCGACCUGAGAGGGUGACCGGCCACAUUGGGACUGAGACACGGCCCAAACUCCUACGGGAGGCAGCAGUGGGGAAUAUUGCACAAUGGGGGAAACCCUGAUGCAGCGACGCCGCGUGAGCGAAGAAGUAUUUCGGUAUGUAAAGCUCUAUCAGCAGGGAAGAAGAAUGACGGUACCUGACUAAGAAGCACCGGCUAAAUACGUGCCAGCAGCCGCGGUAAUACGUAUGGUGCAAGCGUUAUCCGGAUUUACUGGGUGUAAAGGGAGCGCAGGCGGUGCGGCAAGUCUGAUGUGAAAGCCCGGGGCUCAACCCCGGUACUGCAUUGGAAACUGUCGUACUAGAGUGUCGGAGGGGUAAGUGGAAUUCCUAGUGUAGCGGUGAAAUGCGUAGAUAUUAGGAGGAACACCAGUGGCGAAGGCGGCUUACUGGACGAUAACUGACGCUGAGGCUCGAAAGCGUGGGGAGCAAACAGAAUUAGAUACCCUGGUAGUCCACGCCGUA
RNAcentral lists this ribosomal RNA (584 nucleotides) under uncultured bacterium. RNAcentral's name for it is "bacterial SSU rRNA". It matches the Rfam family "Bacterial small subunit ribosomal RNA", at positions 201 to 804 of the family's 1533-position model. The record is from RNAcentral.